GGUCGUAGAGCUGGUUAGCACUAGUUUUUUGCGCUAGGGGUAUAGACGGCCA
Molecule: transfer RNA, 52 nt
Filed under: Pomphorhynchus laevis
Lineage: Eukaryota; Metazoa; Acanthocephala; Palaeacanthocephala; Echinorhynchida; Pomphorhynchidae
Description: tRNA-Lys
Source: RNAcentral